GGCCUGCCCACUGAGGAUUUAAAUGGCCGCGGUAUUUUGACCGUGCAAAGGUAGCAUAAUAAUUAGUUUUUUAAUUGAAAGCUGGAAUGAAAGGUUGGAUGAGAAAAUAGCUGUCUCUGUUUAAAUUAAUUAAAAUUUUAUUUUUAAGUAAAAAAGCUUAAAUAGAAAUGGAAGACGAGAAGACCCUAUAGAGUUUUAAUUUAGUUGGGGUGAUUGAAAAAUUUAAUAAACUUUUUUUAUAUUUAACCAUUAAUUUAUGAGUAAUUGAUCCUUAAAUUAAGAUUAAAAGAAAAAAUUACCUUAGGGAUAACAGCGUAAUUUUUUUAGAGAGUUCAAAUCGAAAAAAAAGAUUGCGACCUCGAUGUUGGAUUAAAAUUAAAUUUUGGUGUAGAAGCUAA
Molecule: ribosomal RNA, 398 nt
Filed under: Rhyncogonus ventralis
Lineage: Eukaryota; Metazoa; Arthropoda; Insecta; Coleoptera; Curculionidae
Description: partial 16S ribosomal RNA
Rfam family: Bacterial large subunit ribosomal RNA
Source: RNAcentral